This 3039-nucleotide long non-coding RNA is filed under the name Capsicum annuum. Its description in RNAcentral is "long non-coding RNA (CANN_LNC005831)". Lineage: Eukaryota; Viridiplantae; Streptophyta; Magnoliopsida; Solanales; Solanaceae. The record is from RNAcentral.
UGAAAUUCCUUGGCCGGCCACUAUCUAGUAACUUACGAGCAUACGAGAAGUGUAAAAGGUCAUCCCUUUAUUAAAAAGAAAAAAAAAUCCACAUUCGAAACAAAACUGAACCAAGAACAACAUAAAAUUGGUGAUGUUGAACCCCCUUCAACUUUUUGUGUUCACUUUUCAUAUUUUGAACCCCUUAGUAAAAAUCCAAGUUCGGUCACUUUCUCCAACAAAUCACAAACAUACAAGAAGCGCAAAAAAAUCAUUUCUUUAUAAACAGAAGUUCACAUCAGAAACAAAACUGAACCAAGAACAUAAAAUUGGUAAUGUUGAACCCACUUUGACUUCCUCAUAUAUUUUUUCAAAUUCAAAACCCCUUGGUGAAAAUCCUAGCUCGGCCGCUGUAUCCAACAACUUACAACCAUGCAACAAGUGUAAAAAAAGAUUUCUUUAUAAGCAAAAGCCACAUCAGAUACAAAACAGAACCAAGAACAACAUAAAAUUGGUGAUGUUAAACUCCCUUUCGACGACUUCGUGUGUUUACAUCUUCAUAUUUUGAACCCCUUAGUGAAAAUCCUAUCUCGGCUACUAUAUCCAACAACUUACAACCAUACAAGUGUAAAAAAAUCAUUUCUUUAUAAACAAAAGUUUACAUCAGAAAAAAAAAAAAAAAAAAAAAAAAAAAAAAAAAAAAAAAAAAAAAAAAAAAAAAAAAAAAAAAACAAGAACAACAUAAAAUUGGUGAUGUCGAACCCUUUCGACGAUUUCCUAUGUUUACAUCUUCACAUUUUAAAACCUCUAGUGAAAAUUCUAAUUUGGCCACUAUAUCCAACAACGUACAACCAUACAAGUGUAAAAAAAAAACAUUUCUUUAUAAACAAAAAAAAAAAAAAAAAUUCUGGAAACCAAGAAUUUCAAAAAGCAUACUUGAGCAGCAGAUAAAACUGAGGCAAUUGAUAAAGCAAUGCUAGGCUUCUCAGCUACCUGCAAAUUCCCAAAAUACUAAAUCAAUAACCAUAAACUAAAUGGAACCAAAUAUAUAUAAAUUAUUUUUAUUAAUUAAGAUGAAUUAUAGUACAAAAUAAGCAAAAGGGGUAAUUAUUUUUCUUACCAUAAGAAUUUUUGGAGCCAUUUUGCUGAAAAUUUCUGUAACUUUUGAGUAUUUUAGCUAACCUUUGCGCCAAAAGGGUCCUUAAUAAUCUCACAUAGAAUAUUAGCCGUGUGAUCUUGAAAGAGAUAACUGAGCCGUAAGUUUUAAUUUAGGAAAAAGGGCCGGGUAUUUUGAUCCGAUUGGGUUGGGCCUAAUUUUUAUUUUCGUUUCUUUUAUGGAAAAAAUACAUAAACUAACAUACUUAAGUAUUAAAUUACAAAAAAUAACAACACUUUUAUCAAAUUACAUUUUGUAGCAUAUGUAUUUAUAUGUAUUUGUAUUUUUGUAGCAAUAGUUUGCAAAAAUAUAAAAUACAUAUCGAUCAUAAGGGCAGUAAAAAUCAUAUGUAUUUGUAUUUUUGUAGCAACAGUUUGCAAAAAUACAAAAUACAACUUGCUAUAUUAUGAAAUUAUGAAACUGUUGCUAUGAAACUUAUAAUUAAGGGAAUAAGUAUGUUAUUUCUGAAUUUUGCCCUUCUUUUAUUUGGAUGGGUUGGUCCAUCAAGCGUAAAGACUCUUUUCAUGUUUUUUUAUUCAUAUUAGUAAUAAAAGGAAAUAUCACAUAAAUAUGCAAAUUUAAAGCCUAUAUUACAAAAUCUACCAAAAAAUUCUAUUUUACAAAAUAUACCAAUACAAAACUAACAAAACUUAUUAAAUAAAGUAAAAAUAAAUUAGAGAAUUAAAUAAGGAAAAACGGAACGAAGGGAGAGAAAAACAACGAAUGGAGAGGAGAUAGAAAAAGAACAAGAAAUGUUAUGAUUCGGACAGAAAUAAAGCAAACCACAUGCAAAAAGAAAAUAAGAACACACAUAUUUACGUGAAAACCCUUGCGAGAAAAAAUAUGGACAGAGGCAGAGGAGGUUUCACUGUGAAAGGAAAAGAGUACAUUGUGGAGCGACGUAAUUUUUGAAUAAUCAAAAUUGACUCACUAAUUGCACUUAUAUAAUACGUGCAUACAAAUAAGUUCUAGGUUCAAAAGCAUGGGUUGCACCAUGAAAUUUUUUGGGCCGGAUCAACAAAAUUCGAGUCACAACUCUAACAGGAAACACGAGAGAGAGUAGAAGAAACAGUAGAGGAUGGAUCGAUUCCAACGAAAUUCACUGCUUCUUAAGCUCGCUGGAUCUCCGAUAAGAUCCCAACAGCUUCAACCCCAUAAAAAACGGAGUCAAAAACCACCGUCGAAGCACCCCAAUCGAAAAACUCAUCUAAAACACCCCUAAACCGACUCCCCAUUUCAAUUUUUGGCGAAAUUCACCGGGGAACGAACGAAACAGACCGGUCGCAUGGGAAUUUGGUGCGAAUUUUUCUUGUUUUUUGGAUUAACCAAAGUCAAAAAUCAUUGCCGAAGCACCCCUAUCGGAAAAUUCAUUUGAAACACCCCCAAACUCCCACCCCCCCCCCCCCCCUGACCCCUGAAAUUUCUUCCUUACAAAACAAGUCAUGUAGUAUUUCCUUUCAAACUAACUGUCUCACAUUCAACAUAUAAACAACUACGACUAUCCAACAGCAUAGGAGAAGUGUAAAACAAAAGGACAUUUCAUUGGGCGGUUGAACCCUUUCGACUUCUUUGUAUGUUUACUUUUCAAAUUCUAUACCCCUAAGUGAAAUUCCUUGGCCGGCCACUAUCUAGUAACUUACGAGCAUACGAGAAGUGUAAAAGGUCAUCCCUUUAUUAAAAAGAAAAAAAAAUCCACAUUCGAAACAAAACUGAACCAAGAACAACAUAAAAUUGGUGAUGUUGAACCCCCUUCAACUUUUUGUGUUCACUUUUCAUAUUUUGAACCCCUUAGUAAAAAUCCAAGUUCGGUCACUUUCUCCAACAAAUCACAAACAUACAAGAAGCGCAAAAAAAUCAUUUCUUUAUAAACAGAAGUUCACAUCAGAAACAAAACUGAACCAAGA